AGAGUUUGAUCUUGGCUCAGGACGAACGCUGGCGGCGUGCUUCAUACAUGCUNGUCGAGCGGGAUCCAUCCAGUGGCAACAUUGGUGAANAUCUACCGUCGAACGGGUGAGUAACACGUGAGGAACCUGCCCCACAUACCGGGAUAACCCUCUGAAAGGANAGCUAAUACCGGAUGCCCCCAUCCGACCGCAUGGUCUGAUGAGGAAAUGGAUUCCUCUCUGGGAGGGCCUCACGGCCUAUCAGCUUGUCGGUGCCGUAACCGCUCCCCCCGGUAUCGACAGGUAGCUCGUCUG
Molecule: ribosomal RNA, 294 nt
Filed under: uncultured bacterium
Lineage: Bacteria
Description: partial 16S ribosomal RNA
Rfam family: Bacterial small subunit ribosomal RNA
Source: RNAcentral